This 467-nucleotide ribosomal RNA is filed under the name uncultured bacterium. RNAcentral's name for it is "partial 16S ribosomal RNA". It matches the Rfam family "Bacterial small subunit ribosomal RNA", at positions 28 to 523 of the family's 1533-position model. The record is from RNAcentral.
GAUGAAUGCUGGCGGCGUGCCUAACACAUGCAAGUCGAGCGGCAGCGCGAGUAGUUUACUACUUGGCGGCGAGCGGCGGACGGCUGAGUAACGCGUGGGAACGUGCCCCAAAGUGAGGGAUAACGCACCGAAAGGUGUGCUAAUACCGCAUAUGAUCUUCGGAUUAAAGAAUUUAUUCGCUUUGGGAGCGGCCCGCGUCGGAUUAGGUAGUUGGUAGGGUGAUGGCCUACCAAGCCGACGAUCCGUAGCUGGUCUGAGAGGAUGACCAGCCAGACUGGAACUGAGACACGGUCCAGACUCCUACGGGAGGCAGCAGUGAGGAAUCUUCCACAAUGGGCGAAAGCCUGAUGGAGCAACGCCGCGUGCAGGAUGAAGGCCUCCGGGUUGUAAACUGCUUUUAUAAGUGAAGAAUAUGACGGUAACUUAUGAAUAAGCACCGGCUAACUACGUGCCAGCAGCCGCGGUAA